GACGAACGCUGGCGGCGUGCUUAACACAUGCAAGUCGAACGGAAAGGCCCUGCUUUUGUGUGGUGCUCGAGUGGCGAACGGGUGAGUAACACGUGAGUAACCUUCCCUUUACUUUGGGAUAACUUCAGGAAACUGGUGCUACUACCGGCUAGGAGCUCCUGCUGCAUGGUGGGGUUUGGACAGUUUCGGCGGAUGGGGAUGGACUCGCGGCUUAUCAGCUUGUUGGUGGGGUAGUGGCUUACCAAGGCUUUGACGGGUAGCCGGCCUGAGAGGGUGACCGGCGACAUUGGGACUGAGAUACGGCCCAGACGCCUACGGGAGGCAGCAGUGGGGAAUAUUGCACAAUGGGCGGAAGCCUGAGGCAGAAACGCCGCGUGCGGGAUGAAGGCCUUCGGGUGGUAAACCGCUUUCGCCUGUGACGAAGCGUGAGUGACGGUAAUGGGUAAAGAAGCACCGGCUAACUACGUG
This 468-nucleotide ribosomal RNA is filed under the name uncultured bacterium. Its description in RNAcentral is "partial 16S ribosomal RNA". It matches the Rfam family "Bacterial small subunit ribosomal RNA", at positions 28 to 507 of the family's 1533-position model. The record is from RNAcentral.